CUACAGUUAAGAAAAUAAUGGUGUGCAAUGGCUGCAAACAGUGGCUUCCUCAGUAAUAUAGGCAGUCUGUUGCUUGUUUGGGUUGUCCUAAGGGACCUUAGAGACCACA
The sequence is a small nucleolar RNA, 109 nucleotides long. Its record names the gene SNORA70. It matches the Rfam family "Small nucleolar RNA SNORA70". Rfam says of the family: snoRNA U70 seems to be exclusive to mammals and is a member of the H/ACA class of snoRNA which contain H (ANANNA) and ACA box motifs. H/ACA box snoRNAs are involved in the conversion of uridines to pseudouridines (5-ribosyluracil) a constituent of structural RNAs (transfer, ribosomal, small nuclear, and small nucleolar). The record is from Ensembl.